Long non-coding RNA from Alnus glutinosa, 505 nucleotides. RefSeq lists it as uncharacterized. NCBI's taxonomy places the organism in Eukaryota, Viridiplantae, Streptophyta, Magnoliopsida, Fagales, Betulaceae. The record is from RefSeq and is a predicted model, not a curated record. The transcript is spliced from 2 exons.
UUCCACACUCCUUCCUUCUUCUCUCUUCUCCCUUCUCCUGCUUUGUUGUUCUUCCUUUACUCUCUUUUAAUCAAGAGACGUAGAGAUACUGAACAAGAGAGUGUGAGACCGUGAGAUUGAGAGAAUUACAAGGGAGAAAAUCAUGAGAGUAGGAAAAAAAAAAUACAGAAAGAAACCCAUCUCCGGCGACUUUUCCGGCGAACUUUCCGGCGACUUCCCGGUGAUUUUUCCGGCGAUUUUCCCGUGACCGAACUCACCGUUUUCACUGAAUUUUCUAGUGAAAAUUCUUAGUUAAUAAACUAAGAAAAUAUACAAAGAGGAUUAAGCUCGAUCCCGAUAUUAUGGGAAAUCCAAGUUAUGAACAGAGAGACGUAGGUGGCCGGGAUGGGAUCUAGGAAUGCAUUAGGACAUUUCAUUUAUAUUACCCCAUAAUUUUCAGUUAUUGUAUUUUUACAAUUAAAUGACCGUUUCCGCAUUUAUUAAAAACUCUGAGAUUUUGAAACCA